ACUUACUGGGCCCCCAUCCAAACACAUUCUAGUCCAGGCACACGUGCCUGCAAAGGGCAUGCAGCCCAGGUGGGGCAGGGCCAUAGAGAAACCACAAUUAAUGUCAUUAUUCACGGCUUUUCAGGGAGGUGAUAAGAGGUAUACUCCCUUUGAAGCUGGCAGACCAUUCAUCCUGUCCCAGCAGCCUACACACUGAAGGUGGGAUUUGUAGCAGCUGUUUCAUUUUUGUUGCCUGUUCUGCCAUUCUUUCUCCCACAGAGGAGUAAGAAAGAAUAAAACGGAGGGGAGAAAAAUUGCUCAUAUUAUCUCUUCCACCUAGCAAGCACAGAAACAUGCGUCACUGCUGAUCCCUUGAAAGUGGCUGAGGUUACGGUGUGGGAGAUGAACAUGAAAUUUAACUACAAGAUGAAGCUCCUUAAAAGAAAGCCAGAGGGAGCUGAAUGAAAACAGUUAGCACCAGAGUUGAUAAAAAUCCUCAUCUGACCUUUGGGGGAACUCCUGGGCUCACAAUCUAUAGCCAAUAAGCUACAGGUGACCAUAAUGAGCUGAUACUGCAACAGAAGGAAGAAAUCUGAAUUUGAAACCACACAAGCGUAGAUGAAAAGCAUAUUUCUCUCAAGACAUGACCUGGGAAAAAUAGUCCAGUUUUCCAAACGCAAAUGGCCUUUGUCUUCAUUAUCAUAAUGGGGCCCCAUACCUGGGCCUCUCCUCUGCACAUCAGAUCAGAAGAGGAGUGGGCGAAGGACAUCAGGAAAGAGGCCUUAUUGGAAAUCCCCUCUUCAAAACCCCUGACAAAGGGGCAUCUCACCUCUGCUGGAACACAAUUCAAGAUAAGACUCCUACCUCUUGAGGGAACCCCCCCCACCAGUCCACAUUUGAAUGGAUCCUAUUAUUAGUUCUUCCUGUGUACUGAGUAAUGUAUCUGAUAUUUUCCCUUCAGAAAUAAUAAAACAAAGGGAAUACAGGAAUGCAAAUGAAAUAGAGUCAUUAAUAAUGUAAAUGUGAUGUUCCAACUAUUAUUGCCAAGCUCACAGGAGGGUUCGGUAAUUGUUUAUCUUCCUCCCUUCCACCCCCAGCCCACCUCCUGUCUUUCCCUUCUUUCCUCGGUAAUGGCAUGGCAAGAGGAUACAUUUUGUUGUUCUGUUAAAUUAUACAUUUCUAGGACAUCAGGGAUGGUGUUGUCUAAUUGACUUUGGUCCACACCUGCUACAACUUAGGCGUAUGCGAGCAUUAAUGACUUUUUCCCAUAGAGAAGAAGGAGGACAACUGGUGACAGAAGAAACCACUCAUAGACCCACCGCUGGAUUAUAAGCAUGCUGGGUGCUUAAUGAGUUGCUGAAUAAUAUAAUACUGCUUUAGUUCUUUAGCUGCCUCAUGAUUAAAUGCUAUAAAUAUUUAUGAUUUAUUACUGAUGCUUUGGAUAGGAUAGGCUUUGGAAGACUCAUAGAUCACAGUGAUUCUAAAGGAAAAUAAGAAAAUAAAACUAUAUAAAGCUGCUUAUUUAUAAUGCUGCUCAAAUGGGUUACGCAAUUUUUCAGAAGCAGACGGAGGUAAAGCUAUUCAGCAGCCAUGCCAUUUAAAUGGUUUUUUCUAUAAUUGGUAAUAUAUUUCUCAUAAGAGUAUAUGUAUAACAAGUGGGCGUUAUGGUUAUCACUUUCUACUAAGAACCCACU
Molecule: long non-coding RNA, 1673 nt
Organism: Bubalus bubalis (water buffalo)
Lineage: Eukaryota; Metazoa; Chordata; Mammalia; Artiodactyla; Bovidae
Exons: 6
Source: RefSeq, a predicted model, not a curated record